AAAAUCCCAUGGAUGGAGGAGCCUGGUAGGCUGCAGUCCAUGGGGUGUGGAAGAGUGGGACACAACUGAAGCGACUUAGCAGCAGCAGCAGCAGUGGUAUUUGCAUAUAAGGGUAGAUAUAUUCUAAAGUAUACAGAUCAGUUUUCACAUUUUUUUCCUCUAGAAUUCUUUAAAAAUAUGAUAGAAAAACUGAAUAUAGAUCAGAAACUUCAUUGCAUUAAAACCAGGAAGAAUUAAUAGGAAAGAGUUUCCUUUCUUAAUCAAAAAGCUUUCAGUCCUGUUAGAAGCACUUGAAAACCCUUACCAUCAAGAAAGGCAUGAAUCUCAAGUGUUCCUGGAGGAUAUUUUAGCACUCCAAAGGAGAAAGUGAGCCUGACUACAUUUUUAUGUUCCCUCUGUCCUUAGUCUCCAGGGGCUUGAGGAUGGCUGCUGAUGAACCAGCUUCACUGCUUACCCUUGGAUCAAUCAUGUUUGCUUAAAGCCAGGGCACCAAAGAAAGCCGAGGAAGACUGUACUCAAGUCAUCUGUUUUUGAUUACCUUUCAUUCUAUUCCAGCCUCUCCAGAGCUGCUUUCCCUGGAAUACGCCAGAAACAUUCCCAUCUCACAGACUUUGCAUGGGCCAUUCUACAGGAAACGUGCUACAUCCAGAAAUCCUCAUGGUUCAGUCCCUCUCUGCCUCUAGGUCUUCACUCAAAUGUCUCGAGUGGCCCUAAGGAGCAGAUGGGAAGCUUCAGACAUCUGACCCCAGUCCACAUUCCUGCAUUCCCAGGUGUGAGGGCAACUCCUGGAAGCCCUCAGCAGGCCCCUCCAGCCCUGGCCCAGCUGGAGUGAGGGUGGCAGAGGAGGCUGCUGUGUCUUCGAUAGAUUUUGACCAGCCACCAAGGUUUCCAGCAAAGUAAGGAAGGAUGCUAGCAGAAAUCUGGUUAAGGAGAAAAUUAGUGUGCACGUUUCAUUGAACUUACGGUACAUGAACUGCUGCCAGUAGCAUGGAUGAGAAAUCCGGCACAUGCGAUUUCGCUUCUGACAUACUGUGGAGAAGGUGGGACUGAUGGCAGAAUAACCGACCUCACUGCCACCACGAACGACAAAAAAAUAUCACCAGACUGCUAGGCAAGUCAGCGCUUCCUUUCCCCAUAAGACCCUGGAGCCAAGGCUGCAGCCUAACAUUCCCAGGAUGUCAGGUGUGCCUUCAUGUGGGCUGAGGGGAUCCAGGAAGUAAGCCAACACCUCUAGAUCCAACUCAACGUCUCAACAGGACUGCUGAACCAUAUUGUUCCUUCAGCACAAAGCAUUGUUUUUUUUGGUGAAUCACAAGGGUCACAAGAUCAGUUCCUGAGUGUCUAGUGCUUACUGUUACUCUGAACUUUGCUUCUACUGUGUUUUCAUCAAUAAUCAGAGAUAUAUGUUCAGCUAAGAGCACAUUUCUAGCCUGCCCAUUUACUCCAUCUCUUUCAGGAUGCUUUGAAGAUAGUGUUGAAAUUUGCCAUCUUAUAAUCAUUCACAUGGCAACAAGCAAUGAGAUGACAAACAAACAUAGGGUUAGGACUUCACUGCAGGAAUCAAGCAGAUGGAAAAAGGCUGUGAGGGAGAAAACCUUUAUUUAAACAUAAAUAUCUUUUAAGAAGAGAAUGAAGAAAUGAGAAACUGACUAAAAGCAGCUUAGAAAGACAUGAGUUUGUCUUUUACUAAGCUGCUCAGUGAGUGCUCAGAUGCCAGCAAUGAUGCAAGAAGCAGAUUUAGUGUUAAUAAAAGAAAACAAGGUCUUGAGGCACCUUUUAUAAAGGGUAAAUGGAAGCAAGUAACUUUGUUAUGUUAAACCUGUUUGCAUCACUGAACCAAGCAUAGAUGGAAACCUAACUGGAUCCAAAGAAAAUAAGGAAGACUCUGAAAGGAUUCAGAAGUGAGCACCAAGACAUAGCAAAAGCAAACAAACCAAAGCUAAAAUGUGCGGAGGAGGUCAAAGUCACAGUUGAAAACAAGGAAGUAGUAUCUGAAUUUGUUUCUAUUUCAGGGUGAGUGGCCAUGUAAUUUAUUCAAACUGGAAGACUUGGGCAUGGUUAAUAAUUAUGAUGGGGCAACCAGGACUGUCCCAGGAAAACCAGAACAUGUGGUAAUCCUGUUUUAGAGGCUACUGUUUCAAUGAUUAUGAAAAACGGUAUGCACUGAAACGUGAGCGUAGACAAAGUGUCGGCGUUAUUGAGCAUCUCCUGAAUGCUAGCUAGUGCUAUGUUCUGCGACUAUAGUGAUGAACAAAAUGGUCCUUAAAGAGCUUAUAAUAUGUUUAGUGUGGGCAUCAGCUUCAAAGGGUCACCUGAUAUACCUCUGAAAGUAGAUGAAAUUCAAAUGAUAUACAUUUAUUUAAAUUUGAUGACAUGCAAAAGCAUUGUAAAAGGUGCUGAGAUAAAAAAAAGUCAAGACAAGGCUGCUUUCUUAAGAGGAUUGUAAUCUAGUUAAGGGAAAAGACCCAUUUGUAAAAUUACUAUGUAAGACAAAUACCAAUUCAGUGUGGCUAUGGAGUAAGUGUCAUGAGAUAAUACAUAAUUAAUUGACAAGUUAAUCAUAAAAAAGUAAUUGUUAAAGGAGUUCCUAAAGUGAUCAUUUCCUUCAGUAGGAGAUGAUUGGCUUUAUGGAGAAGCGUUUGUCCCAGGUCUUAAAGAUCAGGUAGGACUGGGGUAGAUAGAGAAGAGAAGGAGAAAGAAAUCGAAUAUGAGAACUAAGCUUGGAGGUAGGAAUGUGUAGGGUGAUUUGAAGGCCCUUAAGGUUAAAGCGUCUCCCUGCAAUGUGGGAGGCCUGGGUUCGAUCUCUGGGUCAGGAAGAUACCCUGGAGAAGGAAAUGGCAACCCACUCCAGUAUUCUUGCCUGGA
This is a long non-coding RNA of Capra hircus (goat), 2865 nucleotides long. RefSeq lists it as uncharacterized. NCBI's taxonomy places the organism in Eukaryota, Metazoa, Chordata, Mammalia, Artiodactyla, Bovidae. The transcript has 6 exons. The record is from RefSeq and is a predicted model, not a curated record.